RNA transcript from Brassica napus (rape), 2478 nucleotides. It is a transcript of the gene named F-box only protein 8, with no coding region annotated. The record is from RefSeq and is a predicted model, not a curated record. The transcript is spliced from 9 exons. NCBI's taxonomy places the organism in Eukaryota, Viridiplantae, Streptophyta, Magnoliopsida, Brassicales, Brassicaceae.
UUCCUUUUUCUUCUUUGUCCUUCUUUUUUCCCUAAAUUAAAAAAAAAAAAAGUUAAGUUCGGUUUUCCUAUAGAUCUAGAUCUGUAUAUAUAUAUAUAUAUAUAUAUAUGUUUCCUUGGAAUCUCCAAAACUUGUUUAAGAUCAAAGUGGUGGGUGAAUUGAGUAUUUGCAGGAAGAGGAGGUGGAGAGAAAGAUGCAGGAUUCGGAAACAGGGGAGAUUCCUGAGGAUCUCAUGAUCGAAAUAGCGGCGAGAUUGCCUGCGAAAUCGGUGAUGAGGUUCAGGUGCAUCUCAAAGUUCUGGUCAUCUCUCCCUUUGUCGACACACUUUUGCAACCGUUUCCUGACGUACCAAUCCCAGCAACCUCGUUUCUACAUGUCGUUAGUGCACCGCCUAGAAAACACAAAAUCUCUACUUCUAUCAUCCACUCCAACAACCACAUGUCCAUGUCCAUGUCCGUCUUCCUCCUUAGAAUUCCACCAAGACCUCACCAUCGGUGGUGGGAUGGUGGGCAACUUACUACGCGUUCUCCAUGGCUUCAUCUGCUUCACGGUGAAGUCAGAGGCGCGUAUCUAUAACCCCAGCACCAGACAACUUGUCAUCUUGCCUUGCAUACAAGAAUCUUUUGUCAAAGGAUAUCCCCAUUAUUUCAGUCUCUACUUUAUCUGCCACGACCCAGUCAGCGAUCAGUACAAGCUACUCUGCGUAAUUACGGCCUUAUUCUCUAGACAAGGACUAGACGAACAAGAAAAGGAAGAAUUAGCAAGUGUCCCAGAGACUAUUUCAGAGCAUUGGGUCUUUGUACUAGAAGCUGGUGGUUCGUGGAAAAGGGUUGCAGAAGAUUUUCGAACUCCUCACCAUCCUUCCCGUCAACAAGUGACUAUGAACAAUGUUUUAUAUUAUAUGGCUUUCACUGAUUCUUCACAGACUUGUGUUCUUGUGAGUUUCGACAUCAGGUCUGAAGAGUUGAGUAUGAUUAAACUACCUCCUCCCCCUGGGAAGAGGUUGGCUCUAAUAAACUACGGUGGCAAAGUAGCUGUCUUUGACUUCUCUUUGCUCAAAGAGAAUGGCUUGGUGGAUCUGUGGGUUGUGGAACAUUGGAGGAACAAGGAAUGGUCAAGGAAGACUCUGUUUUUGCAGCCUUGUCAAAUGCAUUUAGUCACUCACUGUUUUUUCACGGCAAAAGGUCUCCAGCGAAUCGAUCCUUUCAUGAGGAGAUCCUAAUCACAGCAGCUCAUGCUACCUUCUAUGAAUUCAACAUUGAGAUCAGUCAAUGGAGUCGUAAGGAUGUUGAAGGGUCUUUGUUUGUUGUCAAAAGAAGUAAACAAGAACCUCGGUUUCAGUUUAUUGUAAUGAAUCAUGGGAACACAGUGUUUUAGUUUGUUUAAAGCUAAGGGAAGGUCAGGGAAGGCUUACCCGAUGAUUUUGUUUUGAAUUCUUGAUUAAGGAGAUUGUAUUAGUAAUCAUCAGUGUAUUGUUUAAAUUUUGUCUGGGCAGAUAAUCUGGUGGAAGAUCUCCUGGGAGAUUUUGAGCCUGAGAAGAGUACUCUGAAAUUUGAUGUUUCUUAGCUAACUAGCAACCUAAUAAGAAACGCAAAAUGGGAAGACCAAUUACUCUUACAGUGCCUCCUGCAGCAUCAUCUUCGCAGACCGGUUCUCUCACACGGUAACUUAUCCGAAUCAGACACUCUGACUACUAUAAAUCAAGAACGCCGCAUAGCUAAAGAUUCUGCUCGAAGUGCCAGACAGCUACGAAUGGAGAUUUGUGUAAAGAGAAAAAAAGGGCCCAGAUAGCUGGAUCUUCAUCGGCAUCUGCAUCUACUUCCGGAAGCUCAAAAAGACCACGUGAAAAUGAUCUCAAGACAUAUGACAAAUGGGAGUUGGUCUCAUGUCCAUCCUGUAAAGCGUUGUUCUGGAAUGCUGAAGCACCUCGAGUUCAGACAAACCAAGAGAGCAAGCAGUUUAGUCUUUGUUGUCAGAGAGGUCGUGUGAGACUUCCACCAGUUCGGGAGCCACCGUCUCCAUUUCUAGAGCUUUUAGAGUCGCCGAGCUUCAAGCCCCACAUCAGAAUUGCUAACAGUUUGCUUGAUUUCCCCUCUAUGGGUGCCAAAAUUGAUAAGAGCGUCACUGGGUAUGGACAUGAGAAGAUCUCCAUGACUCCAUCAUCAAACGUAGGUAUCAUCAUGAAUAAUAUCAUUAUUUGCUGACUAUAGACAGAUUCAUGUUCUUUAAUGUUCCAAAUGAUGUUGAUGCUAGAACCGCUUGGUCACAGUGCAAUUUGAAGGAUCCUAGGUCAAUCUUAACUUCGAUACCUAUGUCUUUAUUUCAUUGUCUUCAAAAGAUGAUAUACUGACUCUUCUUAUGUCAUGUAUCUAAUUAUCUCCUUGAUUAUCACAUUAAAGACCAGCUAACUUUGUUUGCUUGGUUUUUUAUAUUCAAAAGUGCCUUCUCAGAUCAAUGAAAACAUUUUUGGUUUGUUUA